Molecule: non-coding RNA, 84 nt
Organism: Paramuricea clavata
Lineage: Eukaryota; Metazoa; Cnidaria; Anthozoa; Malacalcyonacea; Plexauridae
Source: the annotation of a GenBank genome assembly
AAUAGUUUCGUACCACAAAAUGUGGCACUCUUUGUGGUACUCAAUUUAUCUGAAGAGUGCCACAUUUUGUGGUACGAAACUAUU